UACGAAGGGUGCAAGCGUUACUCGGAAUUACUGGGCGUAAAGCGUGCGUAGGCGGUUCGUUAAGUCUGUCGUGAAAGCCCUGGGCUCAACCUGGGAAUUGCGAUGGAUACUGGCAAGCUAGAGUACGGUAGAGGAUGGUGGAAUUCCCGGUGUAGCGGUGAAAUGCGUAGAGAUCGGGAGGAACACCCGUGGCGAAGGCGGCCAUCUGGACCAGUACUGACGCUGAGGCACGAAAGCGUGGGGAGCAAACAGG
This 253-nucleotide ribosomal RNA is filed under the name uncultured bacterium. RNAcentral describes it as "partial 16S ribosomal RNA". It matches the Rfam family "Bacterial small subunit ribosomal RNA", at positions 524 to 776 of the family's 1533-position model. The record is from RNAcentral.